Myotis davidii is the source of this 139-nucleotide long non-coding RNA. RefSeq lists it as uncharacterized. The transcript is spliced from 3 exons. The record is from RefSeq and is a predicted model, not a curated record. NCBI's taxonomy places the organism in Eukaryota, Metazoa, Chordata, Mammalia, Chiroptera, Vespertilionidae.
CAUGCAACAAAGGAGGAAGUAAAUUUUUAUGCAUUUACCUGUAUCUGCAACAUUUCUCAUAGUAUGUUUGAAAGCCCAAAUAAUGGAAUCUAAAACAAGUUUAAACUGUGCAGGUGGAAUAGCCAGAAAUGCUGGGAAA